This 253-nucleotide ribosomal RNA is filed under the name uncultured bacterium. RNAcentral's name for it is "partial 16S ribosomal RNA". It matches the Rfam family "Bacterial small subunit ribosomal RNA", at positions 524 to 776 of the family's 1533-position model. The record is from RNAcentral.
CACGUAGGGGGCAAGCGUUGUCCGGAUUCAUUGGGCGUAAAGAGCGUGUAGGCGGCCCGGUAAGUCCGCUGUGAAAGUCGGGGGCUCAACCCUCGAAUGCCGGUGGAUACUGUCGGGCUAGAGUGCGGAAGAGGCGAGUGGAAUUCCUGGUGUAGCGGUGAAAUGCGCAGAUAUCAGGAGGAACACCGGUGGCGAAGGCGGGUCUCUGGGCCGAUACUGACGCUGAGGAGCGAAAGCGUGGGGAGCGAACAGG